ACAGAGCUCACAUCCUGUUCCAGUUCAGGGCCCCAGGACCAGAGCAAGCCGGCGACUCCCUUCAGACCUGACCGUCCCCAGUGCCCCGGGCCAGGCCCAUCCAGGAGGCAGGUCCCCAGGGAUGCUAUUUAUCAACUACCAGGAAACUUCUCCUCCCCAACCUCUCAGAAGACCUGCCGUGUUCAGCUGUCCCGUGGCACUUGGUCUCUUAAUGAAGAUGGAGUUGAUCCAGUAUAUGAAGGAGAUUUGGAGAUCCUUUGAGGCCAUCUCUCAAGCUGGGAAACUGCCUAGUAAUUGUGGCCUUUUGUACAGGCUUCUCUGUAUUUAACUACUAGUGGUCCAGUCAUAACUCAUCAUGACUUUGGAAAAAUCCCAGUAUUUGUGGCUGGCAGAUGGAGAGGAGAGCAGCAGACAUACAGAUGCUGGCCAUGACACAGGGCCUCAAAAGGUGUUGGAUAUAGAGCAAGAGACCAUCAGGACUUCAUGAGGGACAGAAAGGAACUGGAGCAGAAUGGGGAGGGAUCAAGUGAACCACAAGAGGAUGAGAAGAGAGGAGACGACGUAGACAUAUUUGCAAAUUUGACAGCAAAAUAGAGGAAACAGGGCAAUCCAGAUGUAGUCAGAGUAUUUCAGAAUAAGAGACAACAGGGCUAGUACCCCAUAAAACAAUGCUAGGAUAUUAGUCUCCACUUGAGCAUGUAAGUAUUAAACUAGAGGACUUCCUUGCCUCCGCAAGGACCCAGACAACCCAAACCUAUUCAGACUGUUAGCAAGGAAGCAACUAGUAAGAUAGAAGUCAGGUGCAAAGGGAGGAACCGCUGUUGUAGGCCCUUAUUCUGCAAUAGAAGCCAUGUGGGCAGACCCUUGCAUGUGCCUGGCUUCAAGAGGAUUCCACAUAUGAGCAAGGAGCCACCCUGCCUGGAUCAGGAUCAUUGAUGAGCCAGAAGUAAAAAGGAGUAUCAAAAUUGUUGGGCUCAGACUGAAGAUUUACAAAGUUAUUGAUAUGGAAAACAGAAUAAGUCCACGUGGGCACAAUAGAAGGGCCGGGAAUCUUUCUGGAUGUCAGUACAGCACUGCAUAGAAGGAGUAUUUUCUGUGAAUGAAGCGGUACACUAAAGACCAGAUGAUUGCCCUAUUAGCAUGCUUCUCUUCUGACUUUGCUUUGGGAGCUCUCCUCUGGUGGGUCCAGCUGCUCCACACAUCCAUUUGAUUCCCUAGCUCCGAUGAGGAAGUCAGACAUGGAUCAAGGCCAGAAAGCUGAUAAUGGAGUCUGUAAA
Long non-coding RNA from Mauremys mutica (yellowpond turtle), 1277 nucleotides. RefSeq lists it as uncharacterized. The record is from RefSeq and is a predicted model, not a curated record. NCBI's taxonomy places the organism in Eukaryota, Metazoa, Chordata, Testudines, Geoemydidae. The transcript has 4 exons.